Long non-coding RNA from Brassica napus (rape), 1182 nucleotides. RefSeq lists it as uncharacterized. The record is from RefSeq and is a predicted model, not a curated record. The transcript is spliced from 2 exons. Lineage: Eukaryota; Viridiplantae; Streptophyta; Magnoliopsida; Brassicales; Brassicaceae.
GAAAACAAUGGAUUUGGCCAUAUCUCUUUUUCUCCAUGUAUCACUUCAGUCUGAGCAAUGCCACAAAUAAGAAAAAAACACAAAUAUACUUUUUCUUUUUCCAUUCAAAAAUCUAUUAUUAUAAAAAAAUCUUUGUCUCCCUCCUGUUGCGCCACAUCAGCGCCAGGUUAGAAAGUCGCUCAUCCUCAAGACGACACGUGUCGCUGUUUUCAAAACACUUCAUUUAAAAUUGAUACUGAGUUAAUGAUAUUUGGGCCCGAAAUCCAGAAAAAAUUAGGCCCAUAAUGCCUUCAUCUUCUUCCCGACAUACAAUUUUAGGGUUAAUCGGCUCUAGGACUCUAGGAUUCUGUAUACAAACGAUGGCGGUUCUGAUAUUGCCUAAGACUCGAUGAUUCAUCGUCGGACUCUGAUCAUGUCGUUUUAGUCUCCCUGAUUCACCUCAAAACCGUUACAAGUCGCAUUGAUUCAAAUCAUUAACCAAAACUUAACUCUUCCUGCCCAUUACAACCACGAUCUCGAAUUCAAUGAAUUUAUCCAUCUUGCAGGCGGCGAUUCUCCCCUAUAAAAAGGCUGACUGUUGUUCUUCUAAGGUGGAGGUGUGGCUGGCUGCUGUAGAGUUUUCAAAUAUGGUUUACAAAUUUUUAUUUGUAAUCUGGUUAUAUUAAGGGACGUUAAGAGGGGGAAAUCUGCGAGAGGUUGGGGAAUCUUGCCAUUGAUGAGUAUUGUAGCUCGAAGAAUCACACGAAAAUGAAGAUUUUUUUAAUCAAAGAAAUGGACAUGAGGAGAUGCAAGAGGAAGAACAUGAAGAGACUGGGAGGCGGUGGUCUUUCUCUCCACAUUUUUGCUAACUUGAAAGUCAAAUAACAGUCACAAAAAUGCUUUCAUAAGAGACUCUUACUACAUAGUUGUUAGCUACUCUUUUCUGAUGCGAGAAUUGGGAGGAACCCUUGCUUUAAGAUGAUGAUAUGAUUGCUACAGUGUGUAUGUAGUAAUUUGUUAUGUAUAUAUUAUGUGUAUGUAGUAUGUAAGAUGAUUAGAAGAAAGUAGAGCAUAUCCUAAUUAGUCAGUGACUAUGUCAAUGGUGUUAAGAAUUAGAAGAAGACUAUUUUGGAGCUCUUAUGAUGAGAUUCAGACUAAGCUUGAAGUAAAGAUUGAAUGAGUUUUGUUUCUUUUGCGAUGAUC